RNAcentral lists this ribosomal RNA (253 nucleotides) under uncultured bacterium. RNAcentral describes it as "partial 16S ribosomal RNA". It matches the Rfam family "Archaeal small subunit ribosomal RNA", at positions 474 to 727 of the family's 1478-position model. The record is from RNAcentral.
UACCCGCAGCUCAAGUGGUGGUCAUUAUUAUUGGGCCUAAAGCGUCCGUAGCUGGCUUGUUAGAUGCCUGGGUAAAUCGAUGCGCUUAACGUAUCGAAUUCCGGGUAGACCGGCAAGCUCGAGACCGGGAGAGGUGUAGGCUACUCGAGGGGUAGGGGUAAAAUCCUGUAAUCCUUCGGGGAGGACCAGUGGCGAAGGCGCUACACUAGAACGGCUCUGACAGUGAGGGACGAAGCUCUGGGGCGCAAACCGG